GAUGAACGCUGGCGGUAUGCCUAACACAUGCAAGUCGAACGAGCUCUUCGGAGCUAGUGGCGGACGGGUGAGUAACGCGUGAGAAUCUGCCUUCAGGAUGGGGACAACAGUUGGAAACGAUUGCUAAAACCCAAUGUGCCGCAAGGUGAAAUAUUAAUAGCCUGAAGAGGAGCUCGCGUCCGAUUAGUUAGUUGGUGGGGUAAAGGCCUACCAAGGCAGCGAUCGGUAGCUGGUCUGAGAGGAUGAGCAGCCACACUGGGACUGAGACACGGCCCAGACUCCUACGGGAGGCAGCAGUGGGGAAUUUUCCGCAAUGGGCGAAAGCCUGACGGAGCAAUACCGCGUGAGGGAGGAAGGUUUUUGGAUUGUAAACCUCUUUUGUUAAGGAAGAAGAAAGUGACGGUACUUAACGAAUAAGCAUCGGCUAACUCCGUGCCAGCAGCCGCCGCCG
This 451-nucleotide ribosomal RNA is filed under the name uncultured bacterium. RNAcentral's name for it is "partial 16S ribosomal RNA". It matches the Rfam family "Bacterial small subunit ribosomal RNA", at positions 28 to 523 of the family's 1533-position model. The record is from RNAcentral.